RNAcentral lists this ribosomal RNA (250 nucleotides) under uncultured bacterium. RNAcentral describes it as "partial 16S ribosomal RNA". It matches the Rfam family "Bacterial small subunit ribosomal RNA", at positions 528 to 776 of the family's 1533-position model. The record is from RNAcentral.
UAGGGGGCAAGCGUUGUCCGGAUUUAUUGGGCGUAAAGAGCUCGUAGGUGGUUCGGUAAGUCGGAUGUGAAAUCUCCAGGCUCAACCUGGAGGGGUCAUUCGAUACUGCCGUGACUAGAGGUCGGUAGGGGAGUGUGGAAUUCCUGGUGGAGCGGUGAAAUGCGCAGAUAUCAGGAGGAACACCCGUAGCGAAGGCGGCACUCUGGGCCGAUACGGACACUGAGGAGCGAAAGCGUGGGGAGCGAACAGG